This 1067-nucleotide long non-coding RNA is filed under the name Cyanistes caeruleus (blue tit). Its description in RNAcentral is "lncRNA (ENSCCEG00000007728.1)". Lineage: Eukaryota; Metazoa; Chordata; Aves; Passeriformes; Paridae. The record is from RNAcentral.
CUGGCACUGGCACUGGCUCUGGCUCUGGCACCAGCUCUGGUUCCAGGCUCUGGUUCUGGUUCUGGUUCAGGCUCUGGCUCUGAUUCCAGCUCUGGUUGAGGCUCUGGCUCUGGUUCCAGCUCUGGUUCCAGCUCUGGUUCAGGCUCUGGCUCUGGUUCCAGCUCUGGUUCCAGCUCUGGUUUCGGCUCUGGCUCUGGUUCCGGCUCUGGCUCUGGCUCUGGUGUCGGGGUCUGUGCAGAAGUCGAGGUGACCUCUGGCUCUGGAGUCGGGGUGCAGUUCAGCUCCGGUGCUGGACCGGAUAUGUCAGCUGGGCUCAGGCCGGUCUGGAGCAGGAUCCAGUUGUAGAAGUGCUGAGUGGAGGUGUAGACCCCGGGGUGCCUGGCUCUGUCACAGCCUUUUCCCCAGCUGCUCAUUCCCACAAGCCAGAAGUAGUCGGCUCUGUUGUCCUUGCAGAUGAGAGGAUUCCCGCUGUCCCCCUGUGCCAGGAGAGAAGGCUCAAAGGCUGUGGUGGACUGCUGCCAUCCCCAGGGCCACCUCCUCUGUCCCAUCCCAGGGCCGGCUCCUCUCUCCCAUCCCAGGGCCGGCUCCUCUCUCCCAUCCCCAGGGUUUUCUCCUCUCUCCCAUCCCAGGGUUUUUUCCUCUCUCCCAUCCCCAGGGUUUUCUCCUCUCUCCCAUCCCCAGGCUUUUCUCCUCUCUCCCAUCCCAGGAUUUUCUCCUCUCUCCCAUCCCAGGGUUUUCUCCUCUCUCCCAUCCCAGGAUUUUCUCCUCUCUCCCAUCCCAGGAUUCUCUCCUCUCUCCCAUCCCCAGGAUUUUCUCCUCUCUCCCAUCCCCAGGCUUUUCUCUUCUCUCCCAUCCCCAGGGUUUUCUCCUCUCUCCCAUCCCCAGGCUUUUCUCCUCUCUCCCAUCCCAGGCUUUUCUCCUCUCUCCCAUCCCCAGGAUUUUCUCCUCUCUCCCAUCCCAGGGUUUUCUCCUCUCUCCCAUCCCAAGGCUGGCUCCUCUCUCCCAUCCCAGGGUUAUCUCUUCUCUCCCAUCCCCAGGGUUAUCUCUUCUCUCCCAUCCCCAGGGUU